Fundulus heteroclitus (mummichog) is the source of this 253-nucleotide long non-coding RNA. RefSeq lists it as uncharacterized. The record is from RefSeq and is a predicted model, not a curated record. Lineage: Eukaryota; Metazoa; Chordata; Actinopteri; Cyprinodontiformes; Fundulidae. The transcript has 3 exons.
UUAUGGCAGGAUUGUUCCUCUGUAUGGACACACACUCCAUGCUUAUAAAGGCCAUAUUUUUGGCUGGCAUCAUGUGAGAGGUGGGACUUGCCAUUCCAACCUUUUAAAGGCUCCUUGUACCCUUAAUCCUAGCAAUAGGAAGUUUGAUGUGAGUAAAGAUGCUCUCUCUUCACAAGCUCAGAUUGGCAUUGCUGCUGUGUGGCUUCUUGAUAUUUUGUGAGCUUAUGAGACCAAAUGCAGAAGCAACAGAAAA